UCAGAAUCAACGCUGGCGGCGUGCCUAACACAUGCAAGUCGUACGCGAAAGGGGCUUCGGCCCUGAGUAGAGUGGCAAACGGGUGAGUAACACGUGGGUGACCUGCCUUCGAGUGGGGGAUAACGUCCCGAAAGGGACGCUAAUACCGCAUGACAUCCUGCUUUUGGACGAGCGGAGAUCAAAGCCGGGGAUCGCAAGACCUGGCGCUUGAAGAGGGGCCCGCGCCUGAUUAGCUAGUUGGUAGGGUAAUGGCCUACCAAGGCUACGAUCAGUAUCCGGCCUGAGAGGGCGGACGGACACACUGGGACUGAGACACGGCCCAGACUCCUACGGGAGGCAGCAGUGGGGAAUUGUUCGCAAUGGGCGAAAGCCUGACGACGCAACGCCGCGUGGAGGACGAAGAUCUUCGGGUCGUAAACUCCUGUCGAGCGGGAAGAACAUUCACCGGGUCAAUACCCUGGUGAGCUGACGGUACCGCUAAAGGAAGCCCCGGCUAACUCCGUGCCAGCAGCCGCGGUAAUACGGGGGGGGCAAGCGUUGUUCGGAAUUACUGGGCGUAAAGGGCUCGUAGGCGGCCAACUAAGUCGGACGUGAAAUCCCCAGGCUCAACCUGGGAACUGCGUCCGAUACUGGAUGGCUUGAAUCCGGGAGAGGGAUGCAGAAUUCCAGGUGUAGCGGUGAAAUGCGUAGAUAUCUGGAGGAAUACCGGUGGCGA
RNAcentral lists this ribosomal RNA (715 nucleotides) under uncultured bacterium. Its description in RNAcentral is "bacterial SSU rRNA". It matches the Rfam family "Bacterial small subunit ribosomal RNA", at positions 24 to 718 of the family's 1533-position model. The record is from RNAcentral.